AACAAGGAGGGAACAAGCAUACAAUAAGGAAUGUUUAUCGAAAUCAUGAUGUAUUCGUUUUCUUAAAACCAUGCAAUUGUUUUAGCUCCUUUAAACCCCUCAUGUAAACCCCACAUGAGUAAAUCACUUUACAAAAAUCCAUGCUCAACUAUGUUACCAAAGAAAUGGGAAAUAUGGCAAAAACCCACAAGUUAGCAAAAUAGACAGAAAGUUUCUCGUUGUAGCGAAN
Molecule: long non-coding RNA, 229 nt
Filed under: Theobroma cacao (cacao)
Lineage: Eukaryota; Viridiplantae; Streptophyta; Magnoliopsida; Malvales; Malvaceae
Description: long non-coding RNA (TCAC_LNC000373)
Source: RNAcentral